CCUACGGGAGGCAGCAGUGGGGAAUAUUGCACAAUGGGGGAAACCCUGAUGCAGCAACGCCGCGUGAGUGAUGACGGCCUUCGGGUUGUAAAGCCCCGUCUGCAGGGACGAGAAGGACGGUACCUGAGGAGGAAGGCACGGCUAACGACGUGCCAGCAGCCGCGGACAUACGGAGGGGGCGAGCGUUGACCGGAUUUACUGGGCGUAAAGGGAGCGUAGGCGGACUUUUCAGUGAGAUGUGAAAUACUCGGGCUCAACUUGAGUGCUGCAUUUCAAACUGGAAGUCUAGAGUGCAGGAGAGGUGACUGGCAUUCCUAGUGUAGCGGUUCAAUGCGUCGAUAUUAGGAAGAACACCAGUGGCGCAGGCGAUUCUCUGGACUGUAACUGACGCUGAGGCUCGAAAGCGUGGGGAGCAAACAGGAUUAGAUACCCUUGUAGUC
RNAcentral lists this ribosomal RNA (440 nucleotides) under uncultured bacterium. RNAcentral's name for it is "partial 16S ribosomal RNA". It matches the Rfam family "Bacterial small subunit ribosomal RNA", at positions 338 to 795 of the family's 1533-position model. The record is from RNAcentral.